GACGAACGCUGGCGGCGGGCCUAACACAUGCAAGUCGAACGAGUGGCGGACGGGUGAGUAAUGUCUGGGAAACUGCCUGAUGGCGGGGGAUAACUACUGGAAACGGUAGCUAAUACCGCAUACCAUCAGAUGUGCCCCGAUGGGAUUAGCUUGUUGGUGGGGUAACGGCUCACCAAGGCGAAUAUCCCUAGCUGGUCUGAGAGGAUGACCAGCCACACUGGAACUGAGACACGGUCCAGACUCCUACGGGAGGCAGCAGUGGGGAAUAGUGCACAAUGGGCGCAAGCAUGAUGCAGCCAUGCAGCGUGUAUGAAGAAGGCCUUCGGGUUGUAAAGUACUUUCAGCGGGGAGGCGUUACCCGCAGAAGAAGCACCGGCUAACUCCGUGCCAGCAGCCGCGGUAAUUC
Molecule: ribosomal RNA, 406 nt
Filed under: uncultured bacterium
Lineage: Bacteria
Description: partial 16S ribosomal RNA
Rfam family: Bacterial small subunit ribosomal RNA
Source: RNAcentral